Molecule: non-coding RNA, 49 nt
Filed under: Schistosoma curassoni
Lineage: Eukaryota; Metazoa; Platyhelminthes; Trematoda; Strigeidida; Schistosomatidae
Source: RNAcentral
GCACUGCCGAGGAGUCCCACAGUAAUAGGACGAAACGGCCGUUCAGUAC